UGGGGAAUAUUGGGCAAUGGGCGCAAGCCUGACCCAGCAACGCCGCGUGAAGGAAGAAGGCUUUCGGGUUGUAAACUUCUUUUAUCAGGGACGAAACAAAUGACGGUACCUGAUGAAUAAGCCACGGCUAACUACGUGCCAGCAGCCGCGGUAAUACGUAGGUGGCAAGCGUUAUCCGGAUUUACUGGGUGUAAAGGGCGUGUAGGCGGGCUUGCAAGUCAGAUGUGAAAUUCCACGGCUCAACCGUGGAACUGCAUUUGAAACUGUAUUUCUUGAGUGCUGGAGAGGCAAUCGGAAUUCCGUGUGUAGCGGUGAAAUGCGUAGAUAUACGGAGGAACACCAGUGGCGAAGGCGGAUUGCUGGACAGUAACUGACGCUGAGGCGCGAAAGCGUGGGGAGCAAACAGGAUUAGAUACCC
This 418-nucleotide ribosomal RNA is filed under the name uncultured bacterium. RNAcentral's name for it is "bacterial SSU rRNA". It matches the Rfam family "Bacterial small subunit ribosomal RNA", at positions 355 to 787 of the family's 1533-position model. The record is from RNAcentral.